GAUGACAUCCAAGACAUUGAUGGGCGUCAUUUGAGAAACAGGCUAAUAGCUGAGAGAUUUUAAGAUUUUGAGUAGCGUUGCUGUAAAAUAACAAGCUUAAUAUCCUUCAUCAUAACAAAGACGCUGACCAUACAUGCUUUGAAAAGACUUAGUUAUUUCAGAAAUUAUUAAAUUUCAACAUAAAAAGUUUUUUUGGU
Mytilus californianus (California mussel) is the source of this 197-nucleotide long non-coding RNA. RefSeq lists it as uncharacterized. The transcript is spliced from 2 exons. The record is from RefSeq and is a predicted model, not a curated record. NCBI's taxonomy places the organism in Eukaryota, Metazoa, Mollusca, Bivalvia, Mytilida, Mytilidae.